GACGAACGCUGGCGGCGUGCUUAACACAUGCAAGUCGAACGGAAAGGCCCUGCGUUUGUUGGUUGCUCGAGUGGCGAACGGGUGAGUAACACGUGAGUAACCUGCCCUUGACUUUGGGAGAACUUCAGGAAACUGGGGCGAAUACCGGAUAGGAUCUCCUGCUGCAUGGUGGGGGUUGGAAAGUUUCGGCGGUUGGGGAUGGACUCGCGGCUUAUCAGCUUGUUUGGGGGGUAGUGGCUUACCAAGGCUUUGACGGGUAGCCGGCCUGAGAGGGUGACCGGCCACCUUGGGACUGAGAGACGGCCCAGACUCCUACGGGAGGCAGCAGUGGGGAAUAUUGCACAAUGGGCGGAAGCCUGAUGCAGCAACGCCGCGUGCGGGAUGACGGCCUUCGGGUUGUAAACCGCUUUCGCCUGUGACGAAGCGUGAGUGACGGUAAUGGGUAAAGAAGCACCGGCUAACUACGUG
Molecule: ribosomal RNA, 468 nt
Filed under: uncultured bacterium
Lineage: Bacteria
Description: partial 16S ribosomal RNA
Rfam family: Bacterial small subunit ribosomal RNA
Source: RNAcentral